RNAcentral lists this ribosomal RNA (1696 nucleotides) under human gut metagenome. Its description in RNAcentral is "bacterial LSU rRNA". It matches the Rfam family "Bacterial large subunit ribosomal RNA", at positions 192 to 1978 of the family's 2925-position model. The record is from RNAcentral.
ACUGAAACAUCUAAGUAGGGCGAGGAAGAGAAAUCAACCGAGAUUCCGCUAGUAGUGGCGAGCGAACGCGGAAGAGGCCAAACCAAGAGUAGUAAUACUUUUGGGGUUUUGGACAGCGUACGGUAUUAACUGCGGUUAGUAGAAUGAAAUGGGAAGUUCAACCACAGAGCGUGAUAGUCGCGUACACGAAAACUAAAGUUAGCCAGCUGGAUCCAGAGUACCGCCGGACACGUGAAACCCGGUGGGAAGACGGGGGGACCACCCUCCAAGCCUAAAUACUCUCCAAUGACCGAUAGUGUAUAGUACUGUGAAGGAAAGGUGAAAAGAACCCCUGGCGGGGAGUGAAAUAGAACCUGAAACCUUGUGCCUACAAGCACAUAGAGCGCGUCAAUGCGUGAUAUGGUACCUUUUGUAGAAUGGUCCGGCGAGUGAAUGUCACUGGCAAGGUUAAGCUCUUCAGGAGUGCAGCCGAAGCGAAAGCGAGUCUGAAAUGGGCGUUUUAGUCAGUGGUAUUCGACCCGAAACCGGGUGACCUAGCCAUGAGCAGGCUGAAGUGGAGGUAAAACUCCAUGGAGGGCCGAACCCACUCCCGUUGAAAUGGUAGGGGAUGACUUGUGGCUAGCGGAGAAAUUCCAAUCGAACCCGGAGAUAGCUGGUUCUCUCCGAAAUAGCUUUAGGGCUAGCCUCAAUUAACAUUACCGCAGGUAAAGCACUGAAUGAGCUAGGGGGCGAAAGCUUACUGAACUCUAUCAAACUCAGAAUGGCGGAUAAUGAAUGAUUGGGAGUCACACUACGUGAGAUAAGUUUCGUGGUGGAAAGGGAAACAGCCCAGACCCACAGCUAAGGUCCCAAAGUACAGUUAAGUGGAAAAGGAUGUGAAAUUGCGCAGACAACCAGGAUGUUGGCUCAGAAGCAGCCACUCAUUCAAAGAGUGCGUAAUAGCUCACUGGUCGAGUGAUUUUGCGCCGAAAAUUUAACGGGGCUAAACUGUACACCGAAGCUUGGGAAUAUACAUUUGUAUGUUGGUAGGAGAGCGUUGUGUAAGGGGUGAAGUCGUAGCGAAAGCGGCGGUGGACUUUACACAAGUGAGAAUGCCGGAAUGAGUAGCGAGAAUUAUGUGAGAAUCAUAAUGGCCGAAAGACUAAGGUUUUAGAAGGAAGGUUCGUCCGCUUCUAGUUAGCCGGGAGCUAAGGCGAGGCCGAGAGGCGUAGUCGAUGCACAUACGGUUGAGAUUCCGUAGCUACCUUGCAUUUAAGCGAAGGGACACAUUUGAAGGGCAUGACCCGGGCGUUGGUUGACCCGGGCGUAAGGGACCGAAAAUAAGUAGGGAAGCAUGCUUGGAUGGUGGCGAGAAAAGCUUCGUGUAUAUAAGCAGGGUACCCGUACUGCAAACCGACACAGGUAGUCAGGAAGAGGAUUCUAAGGCCAUCGGGAGAAGCGUUGUUAAGGAACUCGGCAAAUUGACCCCGUAACUUCGGAAUAAGGGGUGCUCACGCGAGUGAGCCGCAGUGAAUAGGUCCAGGCAACUGUUUAUCAAAAACACAGCUCUCUGCUAAAUCGUAAGAUGACGUAUAGGGGGUGACACCUGCCCGGUGCUGGAAGGUUAAGAGGAGGGGUGCAAGCUCCGAAUUGAAGCCCCAGUAAACGGCGGCCGUAACUAUAACGGUCCUAAGGUAGCGAAAUUCCUUGUCGGGUA